Molecule: RNA transcript, 2498 nt
Organism: Haemorhous mexicanus (house finch)
Lineage: Eukaryota; Metazoa; Chordata; Aves; Passeriformes; Fringillidae
Gene name: PH and SEC7 domain-containing protein 4-like
Exons: 6
Source: RefSeq, a predicted model, not a curated record
UAUCCUAAAAACCCCAAAUCCCCAACCCCAUCCUGCCCUCGGCGCCCAGCCGCUGCUCCCCGGAGCAGCAGCAGUGCCAGCUGCGGUGCUGGUUGGGGACAGUGACGUGCCAGCUCCUGGAGCACCAGCGGCUCCUGCCCGAGGGACGGGGACGGGAGCAGGAGGAGCACCGGGCACACGGGGACUUCCUGCGCCAGGAGCGCCAGCGCUGCCUCACCUACGUGCAGGCGCUGGGGGCGUGGCUGCGCGGGGACAGCGGCGACAGCGCCACCCUCGGGGACAGCGAGGAGCUCGGGGACAUCGAGGGUCCCCUUGGGGACAGCCCCGAGGGUCCCCAUGGCCCCGCGCCGCUCACCAAGUGCCACUCGAGUCCCUCGCUGGCCCCGGAGCCACCCCCGGGCCGCGUGCGGCGCCACAUCUCGGAGCGCAGGGCCACCCGUGUCAUUGUCCCCAAACGCCACCGGGACCGGCUGUGACACCGUGGGAGUGUCACCACUGUCACUGGGACUGUCCCCAAUGUCACCGCCACAUCUCGGAGCGCAGGGCCACCCGUGUCAUUGUCCCCAAGUUCCACCAGGACCGCCUGUGACAGACCUGGAUUGUCCCUGGGAUUGUCCCCAAGUGCCACCAGGACUGGCUGUGGGGACCCUGUGACAGGGACACCCCAAAGUGCCACCCCAGGACAGGGACACUCCCAAUGUCCCCUCUGUGGGACAAGGGACACCCCAAAGUGCCACCCCCAGGACAGGGACACUCCCAGUGUCCCCACCCCAAUGUCCCCAAUGCUGUCCCCAAUGUCCCCUCCCCCCCCGGUACGAGGCUUUUUUGGGGGAUCCCCCCCGGGAUUGGGAACAACUCAGGGAAAUCCCAAAAACCCCAAACUUCCCAAAAACCCCCAAACUUCCCAAAAACCCCCCAAAUUCCCAAAAACCCCCAAAAUUCCCAGAAAUCCUAAAAUCCCAAUCCCAAAUUCCCAUUCCCAAAAAUCCCAAAAAUUCCCCCCCAAAAAAAUCCCAUUCCCAGAGGAACUUUGGGGGGAUUUUGGGGGAAUUUGGGAUUCCCUCGCUGCGGUUGUGCAAUAAAGGUUCGGAAUUCCAGAAUUUUGGGGAAGGUUCUGGAGAACUUUGGGGGUUCUGGAGAACUUGACAAGGUUCUGGGGGACAUUUGGGAAGGUUCUGGAGAACAUUGGGUGGUCCCAGAGGUCCCCAAGGUGUCCUGGAGGUCCCCAAGGUGUCCCGGAGGUCCACGAGGUGUCCUGGAGGUCCCCAAGGUGUCCUGUGGGCCACAGGAAGCUUCUGGAGGUUGUGGGGAGGUUCUGGAGAACAUGGGGUGCUCCUGGAGAUCAUGGGGAGGUUCUGGAGAACAUGGGGUGAUCCUGGAGAUCCUGGGGAGGUUCUGGAGAACAUGGGGUGCUCCUGGAGGCCACGGGAAGGUUCUGGAGAACAUUGGGUGCUCCUGGAGAUCAUGGGAAGGUUCUGGAGAACAUUGGGUGCUCCUGGAGAUCAUGGGAAGGUUCUGGAGAACAUUGGGUGCUCCUGGAGAUCAUGGGAAGGUUCUGGAGAACAUGGGGUGAUCCUGGAGAUCCUGGGGAGGUUCUGGAGAACAUGGGGUGAUCCUGGAGAUCCUGGGGAGGUUCUGGAGAACAUGGGGUGAUCCUGGAGAUCCUGGGAAGGUUCUGGAGAACAUGGGGUGAUCCUGGAGAUCCUGGGGAGGUUCUGGAGAACACGGGCUGCUCCUGGAGAUCCUGGGAAGGUUCUGGAGAACAUGGGGCGAUCCUGGAGAUCCUGGGAAGGUUCUGGAGAUCACUGGGUGCUCCUGGAGAUCCUGGGGAGGUUCUAGAGAACACUGGGUGAUCCUGGAGGCCAUGGGAGUGUCCCAGAGGUCCCCGAGGUGUCCUGGAGGUCCCCGAGGUGUCCUGUGGGCCACAGGAAGCUUCUGGAGGUUGUGGGGAGGUUCUGGAGAACACGGGGUGCUCCUGGAGAUCCUGGGGAGGUUCUGGAGAACACUGGGUGCUCCUGGAGGCCACGGGAGGUUCUGGAGAACAGUGGGUGAUCCUGGAGAUCCUGGGAAGGUUCUGGAGAACAGUGGGUGCUCCUGGAGAUCCUGGGGAGGUUCUGGAGAACACGGGGUGAUCCUGGAGAUCCUGGGAAGGUUCUGGAGAACAUGGGGUGAUCCUGGAGAUCCUGGGGAGGUUCUGGAGAACAUGGGGUGAUCCUGGAGAUCCUGGGGAGGUUCUGGAGAACACUGGGUGCUCCUGGAGAUCAUGGGGAGGUUCUGGAGAACAUGGGGUGAUCCUGGAGGCCACGGGAGGUUCUGGAGAACACGGGGUGAUCCUGGAGGUCACGGGAGGUUCUGGAGAACACUGGGUGCUCCUGGAGAUCCUGGGAAGGUUCUGGAGAACAUGGGGUGAUCCUGGAGAUCCUGGGGAGGUUCUGGAGAUCACUGGGUGAUCCUGGAGAUCCUGGGAAGGUUCUGGAGAACACUGGGUGAUCCUGGAG